This 507-nucleotide small RNA is filed under the name Pongo abelii (Sumatran orangutan). RNAcentral describes it as "processed transcript". The record is from RNAcentral. Lineage: Eukaryota; Metazoa; Chordata; Mammalia; Primates; Hominidae.
AGGGGGAUCCCGCAGGCAGAAAUCUGUGGUGGGCGGGCGGCAGGUGAGCAAGGAGAACGUGUCUCUAAAGGAAGCACAGGGAACAGGUGGUGGCUUUGUAAGACAGUUGGAACCCAAGGAAGGCAGGCCAUCCCCCAGGAAAGCCUAUGUUGGUGAGGGUUACGGUGGGAGAACGAGUGAGCUACAGCCUGGCACCACCACACCCUGGAAGGUGCAGUUGGGAAGAAGGUUUCUGAGGCUGUAGACAUGAGGAUCAGAUGCUGGAGAAACCCCCUGCUGCUGCUGAUUGCCCUGGUCCUGUCAGCCAAGCUGGGUCACUUCCAAAGGUGGGAGGGCUUCCAGCAGAAGCCCAUGAGCAAGAAGAACAUGAAUUCAACACUUGACUUCUUUAUUCAAUCCUACAACAAUGCCAGCAACGACACCUACUUAUAUCGAGUCCAGAAGCUAAUUCGAAGUCAGAUGCAGAUGGAGUUUCGCUCUUGUUGCCCAAGCUGGAGUGCAAUGGCA